AUGAUAUCUUCCAUAAUCACCAAUGAUUUUUUUUCAUGUAAAAGAAUCAUUGGUGAUUAUGGAAGAUAUCAUUACAGAAUAUAGAAUCAUCCGCUACAGGCUCUGGGGGCAUUGGUUGGUGACCCACAUAGUACAAGCCAACUAUGCAGAGAUAAUAGUAAAAAUUCCAAGGUUCCAUGGCUAUGUUCUAUUGCUAUUGGAAACUCGUUUCCUACAAAAAAUA
Molecule: unclassified non-coding RNA, 223 nt
Filed under: Hevea brasiliensis (rubber tree)
Lineage: Eukaryota; Viridiplantae; Streptophyta; Magnoliopsida; Malpighiales; Euphorbiaceae
Source: RNAcentral